UACGGGGGGAGCGAACGUUACUCGGAAUCACUGGGCAUAAAGGGCGCGUAGGCGGUCCUGUAAGUCGGAUGUGAAAGACCUUGGCUCAACCAAGGAACGGCAUCCGAUACUGCGGGGCUUGAGGCCGAGAGGGGCAAGCGGAACUCCUGGUGGAGCGGUGAAAUGCGUAGAUAUCAGGAGGAACACCGGUGGCGAAGGCGGCUUGCUGGAUCGGUUCUGACGCUGAGGCGCGAAAGCCAGGGGAGCAAACGGG
RNAcentral lists this ribosomal RNA (253 nucleotides) under uncultured bacterium. RNAcentral describes it as "partial 16S ribosomal RNA". It matches the Rfam family "Bacterial small subunit ribosomal RNA", at positions 524 to 776 of the family's 1533-position model. The record is from RNAcentral.